This 492-nucleotide ribosomal RNA is filed under the name uncultured bacterium. RNAcentral's name for it is "partial 16S ribosomal RNA". It matches the Rfam family "Bacterial small subunit ribosomal RNA", at positions 29 to 507 of the family's 1533-position model. The record is from RNAcentral.
AGUGAACGCUGGCGGUAGGCCUAACACAUGCAAGUCGAACGGCAGCACGGUAAGAGCUUGCUCUUACGGGUGGCGAGUGGCGGACGGGUGAGGAAUACAUCGGAAUCUACUUUUUCGUGGGGGAUAACGUAGGGAAACUUCCGCUAAUACCGCAUACGACCUACGGGUGAAAUCAGGGGAUCUUCGGACCUUGCGCGAUUGAAUGAGCCGAUGUCGGAUUAGCUAGUUGGCGGGGUAAAGGCCCACCAAGGCAACGAUCCGUAGCUGGUCUGAGAGGAUGAUCGGCCACACUGGAACUGAGACACGGUCCAGACUCCUACGGGAGGCAGCAGUGGGGAAUAUUGGACAAUGGGCGCAAGCCUGAUCCAGCCAUACCGCGUGGGUGAAGAAGGCCUUCGGGUUGUAAAGCCCUUUUGUUGGGAAAGAAAAGCAGCAGGUUAAUACCCCGCUGUUCUGACGGUACCCAAAGAAUAAGCACCGGCUAACUUCGUG